CAUUCGAACAAACUCAGCUGGUGGGAAAUCAAUGACAGCACCCAUAACUGUAGAAGAGGUCCAUCAAUAUGGCGACUACAUCCGUCUUAAGAACAUUUCCUCUGAGGCAUUAAAUCUAGGAGGUUGGGAGUUAGUUCUACAGAUUAAUAACGGCAAACCAGGCAUAUGCAAAUUUAAGGAGUCAUUAAAACUUCAGGCUGGAGAGAUUCUCUGUAUAUCCCGCCAACGCUGGUUCAGAAACCAUCCUGAUGAUGUUAAUCUGGUGUGGUUGGACAUGAAGUACUGGAAUUCUACAGACAAACUGCAGAUCAACCUCACCAAAAACAAUGAGACUUUCAAACUGCUGUAAUGUGAAUAAACAUGAGAAACAUCAUUUUUUUUAUUCCUAAAUUAAUCAAA
Long non-coding RNA from Acanthochromis polyacanthus (spiny chromis), 399 nucleotides. RefSeq lists it as uncharacterized. The record is from RefSeq and is a predicted model, not a curated record. The transcript has 3 exons. NCBI's taxonomy places the organism in Eukaryota, Metazoa, Chordata, Actinopteri, Pomacentridae.